Molecule: ribosomal RNA, 492 nt
Filed under: uncultured bacterium
Lineage: Bacteria
Description: partial 16S ribosomal RNA
Rfam family: Bacterial small subunit ribosomal RNA
Source: RNAcentral
AGUGAACGCUGGCGGUAGGCCUAACACAUGCAAGUCGAACGGCAGCACAGUAAGAGCUUGCUCUUACGGGUGGCGAGUGGCGGACGGGUGAGGAAUACAUCGGAAUCUACUUUUUCGUGGGGGAUAACGUAGGGAAACUUACGCUAAUACCGCAUACGACCUACGGGUGAAAGCAGGGGAUCUUCGGACCUUGCGCGAUUGAAUGAGCCGAUGUCGGAUUAGCUAGUUGGCGGGGUAAAGGCCCACCAAGGCGACAAUCCGUAGCUGGUCUGAGAGGAUGAUCAGCCACACUGGAACUGAGACACGGUCCAGACUCCUACGGGAGACAGCAGUGGGGAAUAUUGGACAAUGGGCGCAAGCCUGAUCCAGCCAUACCGCGUGGGUGAAGAAGGCCUUCGGGUUGUAAAGCCCUUUUGUUGGGAAAGAAAAGCAGCAGGUUAAUACCCCGCUGUUCUGACGGUACCCAAAGAAUAAGCACCGGCUAACUUCGUG